RNAcentral lists this small RNA (107 nucleotides) under Epilithonimonas mollis. RNAcentral's name for it is "Chryseobacterium molle Flavo-1 RNA". It matches the Rfam family "Flavo-1 RNA". Lineage: Bacteria; Pseudomonadati; Bacteroidota; Flavobacteriia; Flavobacteriales; Weeksellaceae. The record is from RNAcentral.
UUAUUGCAGCCCGACUUGAGCGGAAAUCCUUUUUUGCCAAUACUGGAUUUCUAUUGAUAGUGAAAUCUCGUGGCGAAAAAGAUUGGGAGCGGAAGGCGGAAAUAGCU